Molecule: ribosomal RNA, 107 nt
Filed under: uncultured eukaryote
Lineage: Eukaryota
Description: partial small subunit ribosomal RNA
Rfam family: Eukaryotic small subunit ribosomal RNA
Source: RNAcentral
UCGCUCCUACCGAUUGAGUGAUCCGGUGAAUUAUUCGGACCGUGCCUGCAUCAGUUUAUGCUGCUGGUAUGGAAAGUUUUGUAAACCUUAUCACUUAGAGGAAGGAG